UCGNACGGACUCUUCGGAGUUAGUGGCGGACGGGUGAGUAACACGUGGGAACGUGCCUUUAGGUUCGGAAUAAGCUCGGGAAACUGGGUCUAAUACCGAAUGUGCCCUUCGGGGGAAAGAUUUAUCGCCUUUAGAGCGGCCCGCGUCUGAUUAGCUAGUUGGUGGUGUAAUGGACCACCAAGGCGACGAUCAGUAGCUGGUCUGAGAGGAUGACCAGCCACAUUGGGACUGAGACACGGCCCAAACUCCUACGGGAGGCAGCAGUGGGGAAUCUUGCGCAAUGGGCGAAAGCCUGACGCAGCCAUGCCGCGUGUAUGAUGAAGGUCUUAGGAUUGUAAAAUACUUUCACCGGUGAAGAUAAUGACUGUAGCCGGAGAAGAAGCCCCGGCUAACUUCGUGCCAGCAGCCGCGGUAAUACGAAGGGGGCUAGCGUUGCUCGGAAUUACUGGGCGUAAAGGGAGCGUAGGCGGACAUUUAAGUCAGGGGUGAAAUCCCAGAGCUCAACUCUGGAACUGCCUUUGAUACUGGGUGUCUUGAGUGUGAUAGAGGUAUGUGGAACUCCGAGUGUAGAGGUGAAAUUCGUAGAUAUUCGGAAGAACACCAGUGGCGAAGGCGACAUACUGGAUCAUUACUGACGCUGAGGCUCGAAAGCGUGGGGAGCAAACAGGAUUAGAUACCCUGGUAGUCCACGCCGUAAACGAUGAUUGCUAGUUGUCGGGGUGUUUACAUCUCGGUGACGCAGCUAACGCAUUAAGCAAUCCGCCUGGGGAGUACGGUCGCAAGANUNAAACUCAAAGGAANUGACGGGGGCCCGCACNAGCGGUGGANCAUGUGGUUUAAUUCGAAGCAACGCGCAGAACCUUACCACCUUUUGACAUGCCUGGNNCGC
Molecule: ribosomal RNA, 889 nt
Filed under: uncultured bacterium
Lineage: Bacteria
Description: bacterial SSU rRNA
Rfam family: Bacterial small subunit ribosomal RNA
Source: RNAcentral